AGCUGACCCCCUCACACUCCCUUCACCCGCAAACCCACGCAUUUCCCUGCUUCAUACCCCACUGAGCUCCUGUGUGUGAGAGUGUGUUUACAGCAUCUGCGCCGCAGGACAGGCGGCUCGUAUCAGUGCGCGCGGAUCUACUUUCUCACGCGGAAGAGUCCCGCUGCGCUCCGAGAAGAAGAAGUCCGAGACGCAGAGGUUCACGAGCAUUCACCGAAUAACCGCGUCUAACGGGACACACACACAACUCUUCAUCUGCGCCCCCUCCUCCUCAUCUUCCUCCUCUCCUCUCCGUGAGAAUGGCGCAGAUUUUGCCGAUCCGCUUCCAGGAGCAUCUGCAGCUGCAGACGCUGGGAGUGAGUCCGGCUAGCAUCAGCUUCAGCUGCCUGACCAUGGAGUCGGACCGCUUCAUCUGCAUCCGAGAGAAGGUGGGCGAGCAGAACCAAGUGCUGAUUGUGGACCUGAGCGACCCGAGCAGCCCGAUCCGCCGGCCGAUCACGGCAGACAGCGCCAUCAUGAACCCGGCCAGCAAAGUCAUCGCUCUGAAAGCGGCGCGGACGCUGCAGAUCUUUAACAUGGAGAUGAAGAGUAAAGUCAAGGCUCACACCAUGACGGACGAAGUGCUGUUCUGGAGGUGGAUCUCGGUUAACACCAUCGCCCUGGUUACGGACACGGCCGUCUAUCAUUGGAGCAUGGAGGGAGACUCUCAGCCAAUCAAUAUGUUUGAUCGUCACGCCAGCCUCGCGGGAUGCCAGAUCAUCAACUACAGAACGGACGAGCAGCAGAAGUGGCUCCUGCUCAUUGGGAUAUCAGCGCAGCAGAAUCGUGUGGUCGGUGCCAUGCAGUUGUUCUCUGUGGACCGUAAGGUUUCUCAGCCCAUCGAGGGUCACGCGGCUGCGUUUGGACAUUAUAAACUGGAGGGAAACCCAAACGCUUCCACGCUCUUCUGCUUCGGCGUCAGAGGGCAGGCUGGAGGAAAGCUGCACAUCAUCGAGGUCGGUCAGCCUCAGACCGGUAACCAGCCGUUCACUAAGAAAGCAGUGGACGUGUUUUUCCCUCCUGAAGCACAGGCGGACUUUCCUGUGGCCAUGCAGAUCGGAACUAAGCACGGCGUCAUCUACCUCAUCACUAAAUACGGUUACUUUCACAUGUAUGAUCUGGAGUCGGGCGUGUGUAUUUACAUGAACCGCAUCAGCGCUGAAACCAUAUUCGUCACGGCUGCUCACGAGAGCACAUCUGGGGUCAUCGGGGUCAAUAAGAAAGGACAGGUGCUGUCGGUGUGUGUGGAGGAGGAGAACGUAGUAAAUUACGUGACUAACGUGCUGCAGAAUCCCGAGCUGGCGUUGCGUUUGGCAUUACGCAGCGAUCUUCCCGGAGCCGAGGAGCUCCUGACACACAAGUUCAACACGCUCUUCUCUCAGGGCAGCUACACCGAAGCGGCUAAAGUCGCUGCGUCGGCUCCCAAGGGUGUGUUGCGAACGGCAGAGACGGUCCGGCGGUUCCAGGCCGUCCCGGCGCAGGGGGGCCAGCCGUCUCCGCUGCUGCAGUAUUUCGGGGUUCUGCUGGACCGCGGGCAGCUCAAUAAGCUGGAGUCGUUGGAGCUCUGCAGGCCGGUGCUGCAGCAGGGACGAACACAGCUGCUGGAGAAAUGGCUCAAGGGAGAGAAGCUGGAGUGCUCGGAGGAGUUGGGUGAUCUGGUGAAGGCGGCUGACGUCACUCUGGCCCUCAGCGUUUACCUGCGAGCGAAUGUUCCUGCUAAAGUCAUCCAGUGCUUUGCUGAGACGGCUCAGUUCCAGAAGAUAGUGCUCUAUGCUAAGAAGAUGGGGUAUUCUCCAGACUGGGUGAUGCUGUUGAGGAGUGUGAUGAGAUCCGGUCCUGAUCAGGGCCUUCAGUUCGCUCAGAUGCUGGUUCAGGAUGAAGAGCCGCUCGUCAACAUCAGCCAGGUGGUGGAUGUCUUCAUGGAGGGGAAUCUAGUGCAGCAGUGUACUUCAUUCCUAUUGGACGCUCUGAAGAACAACAGGCCGGAGGAGGGGCCUCUGCAGACACGCCUCCUGGAGAUGAACCUCAUUCACGCCCCUCAGGUCGCAGACGCGAUCCUCGGGAAUCAGAUGUUCACUCACUACGAGCGCGCUCACAUCGCUCAGCUGUGUGAGAAAGCCGGUUUACUGCAGAGAGCUCUGGAGCAUUACAGCGACCCCGACGACGUCAAACGGGCCAUCGUACACACACACCUGCUCAACACCGAGUGGCUGGUGAAUUUCUUUGGCUCUCUGUCUGUCGGUGACUCCGUCGCGUGUCUGAGGGCCAUGUUGGCUGCAAACCUGCGUCAGAACCUGCAGCUGAGCGUUCAGAUCGCCACCAAGUACCACGAGCAGCUGGGAACGCAGACGCUGGUGGAGCUUUUCGAGUCGUUCAAGAGCUACGAGGGUCUGUUUUAUUUUCUGGGCUCUAUCGUGAACUUCAGUCAGGACCCCGAUGUGCACUUCAAGUACAUUCAGGCGGCGUGUAAGACGGGUCAGAUCAAAGAGGUGGAGCGCAUCUGUCGAGAGAGCAGCUGCUACAACGCCGAGCGCGUCAAGAACUUCCUCAAGGAAGCCAAACUCACCGAUCAGCUUCCUCUCAUCAUCGUGUGCGACCGCUUCGAUUUCGUCCACGACCUCGUGCUCUACUUGUACCGUAACAGCCUGCAGAAGUACAUCGAGAUCUACGUACAGAAGGUCAAUCCCAGCCGGCUACCGGUGGUGGUCGGGGGUCUGCUGGAUGUCGACUGCUCCGAGGACACCAUCAGGAGUCUGAUCCUCGCCGUACGAGGAGAUUUCAGCACUGAUCAGCUGGUGGAGGAAGUGGAGAAAAGAAACCGACUGAAGCUGCUCGUGUCCUGGCUGGAAUCUCGUGUUCAAGAGGGCUCUGAAGAACCCGCUACCCACAAUGCACUGGCAAAGAUCUACAUAGACAGUAACAACAAUCCUGAGCGCUUCCUCCGAGAAAACCUGCACUACGACAGCGUGACCGUGGGCCGAUACUGCGAGAAGAGAGACCCGCAACUCGCCUUUGUGGCCUAUGAGAGAGGACAGUGUGACCUGGAGCUCAUACAGGUGUGCAAUGAAAACUCCCUGUUUAAAAGUGAGUCGCGGUAUCUGGUGCGGCGAAAAGAUCCAGAUCUUUGGGCUCAAGUUCUGCAGGAGACGAACCCAUACAGACGGCCGCUGAUAGAUCAGGUGGUUCAGACGGCUCUGCCGGAGACGCAGGAUCCAGAGGAAGUGUCUGUGACGGUGAAGGCGUUUAUGACGGCCGAUCUGCCUAAUGAACUCAUUGAACUUCUGGAGAAGAUCGUUCUGGAGAACUCCAUAUUCAGUGAACACAGGAACCUGCAGAACCUGCUGAUCCUGACGGCCAUCAAAGCGGACCGGACGCGGGUCAUGGAGUACAUCAACCGGCUGGACAAUUACGACGCUCCUGACAUCGCCAACAUCGCCAUCAGCAGCGAGCUGUACGAAGAGGCCUUCUCCAUCUUCAAGAAGUUCGACGUCAACACCUCAGCGAUUCAGGUUCUGAUCGAGCACAUGGGCAAUCUGGACCGGGCGUACGAGUUUGCGGAGCGCUGUUCCGAGGGCUCGGUCUGGAGUCGGCUGGCUCAGGCUCAGCUUCAGUCUGGUCUGAUCAAAGAGGCCAUCGACUCCUACAUCAAAGCUGGAGAGCCGUCGGCGUACAUGGAGGUGGUGGAUGCUGCCAGUAGAAACGGGAACUGGGAGGAUCUGGUGAAGUUUCUUCAAAUGGCGAGGAAGAAAGCCAGAGAGUCGUUUGUGGAGACGGAGCUCAUCUUUGCUCUGGCUAAAACAAAUCGUCUGUCUGAGCUGGAGGACUUUAUCAACGGCCCCAACAAUGCUCACAUACAGCAAGUUGGCGAGAGAUGUUAUGAAGAGGGUAUGUUUGAAGCCGCCCGGCUGCUGUUUAAUAACGUGUCUAAUUUCGCUCGUCUGGCGUCCACACUCGUUCACCUCGGCGAGUUUCAGGCGGCCGUUGACAGCGCACGAAAGGCCAGCUGCACACGCACAUGGAAAGAGGUGUGUUUUGCGUGUGUGGACGGAGAGGAGUUCAGGUUAGCGCAGAUCUCCGGCCUUCACAUCGUCACUCAUGCUGAUGAACUGGAGGAGCUCAUUAACUACUAUCAGGACCGUGGGUAUUUCGAGGAGCUGAUGGUGCUGCUGGAGGCGGCGUUGGGGCUGGAGCGCGCUCACAUGGGCAUGUUCACCGAGCUGGCCAUCCUCUACUCCAAAUACAAACCCCAGAGGAUGAGGGAACAUCUGGAGCUCUUCUGGUCUCGGGUCAACAUCCCUAAGGUGUUACGAGCGGCUGAGCAGGCCCAUCUGUGGGCGGAGCUUGUGUUCCUGUAUGAUAAAUAUGAGGAGUAUGACAACGCCAUCCUGACGAUGAUAACGCACCCCACCGACGCCUGGAGAGACGCUUCCUUCAAAGAGCUCAUCAGCAAGGUGGCAAAUGUGGAGCUGUAUUAUAAAUCCCUGCAGUUUUAUUUGGACUAUAAGCCGCUGCUGCUCAACGAUCUGCUGUCUGUUCUCGCUCCUCGACUGGAUCACAGCAGAGCCGUCAGCUACUUCAGCAGGGUGAAUCAGUUGCAUCUGGUUAAACCGUAUCUCAGAUCAGUGCAGAGCCACAAUAACAGAGACGUGAAUGACGCGCUCAACAACCUGCUGACUGAGGAAGAGGACUAUCAGGGUCUGCGUGCCUCCAUCGAUGCAUACGAUAACUUGGACUCGAUCGGUUUGGCUCAGAGGCUCGAGACACACGAGCUCAUCGAGUUCAGACGCAUCGCUGCGUAUCUCUACAAGAGCAACCAGCGCUGGGCUCAGAGCAUCCAGCUCUGCAAGAAAGACAAACUCUACAAGGAUGCGAUGCAGUUCUCCGCUGAGUCUCAGGACGGAGCUCAGGCUCAGGAUCUCCUGCGCUGGUUUGUUGAGGAGGGGAAGUGCGAGUGUUUCGCCGCGUGUCUCUUCAGCUCCUAUGAUCUUCUGGCUCCUGACCUGGUCUUAGAGCUGGCCUGGAGACACGGCCUCGUGGACUUCGCCAUGCCGUACUUCAUUCAGGUGACGAGGGAGUACCUGAGCAAGGUGCGUACGAAAGCAUCUCAAGCAUGUGCUGCUCAUCAUAAAGCUAUAAAUGUUGCUAUUGGAUGUAUUUGA
This is a long non-coding RNA of Sinocyclocheilus grahami, 5198 nucleotides long. Ensembl annotates it as clathrin heavy chain 1-like. NCBI's taxonomy places the organism in Eukaryota, Metazoa, Chordata, Actinopteri, Cypriniformes, Cyprinidae. The record is from Ensembl.